RNAcentral lists this transfer RNA (26 nucleotides) under Vidua macroura (Pin-tailed whydah). RNAcentral's name for it is "partial tRNA-Trp". Lineage: Eukaryota; Metazoa; Chordata; Aves; Passeriformes; Viduidae. The record is from RNAcentral.
GAAACUUAGGAUUACACAAACCGAAG